GUUGCCAGCGAUUCGGUCGGGAACUCAAAGGAGACUGCCAGUGAUAAACUGGAGGAAGGUGGGGAUGACGUCAAGUCAUCAUGGCCCUUACGACCAGGGCUACACACGUGCUACAAUGGCGCAUACAAAGAGAAGCGACCUCGCGAGAGCAAGCGGACCUCAUAAAGUGCGUCGUAGUCCGGAUUGGAGUCUGCAACUCGACUCCAUGAAGUCGGAAUCGCUAGUAAUCGUGGAUCAGAAUGCCACGGUGAAUACGUUCCCGGGCCUUGUACACACCGCCCGUCACACCAUGGGAGUGGGUUGCAAAAGAAGUAGGUAGCUUAACCUUCGGGAGGGCGCUUACCACUUUGUGAUUCAUGACUGGGGUGAAGUCGUAACAAGGUAACCGUAGGGGAACCUGCGGUUGGAUCACCUCCUUACCUUAAAGAAGC
This 431-nucleotide ribosomal RNA is filed under the name Salmonella enterica subsp. enterica serovar Agona. RNAcentral's name for it is "bacterial SSU rRNA". It matches the Rfam family "Bacterial small subunit ribosomal RNA", at positions 1114 to 1533 of the family's 1533-position model. Lineage: Bacteria; Pseudomonadati; Pseudomonadota; Gammaproteobacteria; Enterobacterales; Enterobacteriaceae. The record is from RNAcentral.